CAGCCGCCGCGGGAACACGAAGGGGGCUAGCGUUGUUCGGAAUUACUGGGCGUAAAGAGCUCGUAGGCGGUUUGUCGCGUCUGCCGUGAAAGUCCGGGGCUCAACCCCGGAUCUGCGGUGGGUACGGGCAGACUAGAGUGAUGUAGGGGAGACUGGAAUUCCUGGUGUAGCGGUGAAAUGCGCAGAUAUCAGGAGGAACACCGAUGGCGAAGGCAGGUCUCUGGGCAUUAACUGACGCUGAGGAGCGAAAGCAUGGGGAGCGAACAGGAUUAGAUACCCCAGUAGUCCCUGUCUCUUAUAC
Molecule: ribosomal RNA, 301 nt
Filed under: uncultured bacterium
Lineage: Bacteria
Description: partial 16S ribosomal RNA
Rfam family: Bacterial small subunit ribosomal RNA
Source: RNAcentral